Molecule: long non-coding RNA, 5255 nt
Organism: Gopherus flavomarginatus (Mexican gopher tortoise)
Lineage: Eukaryota; Metazoa; Chordata; Testudines; Testudinidae
Exons: 2
Source: RefSeq, a predicted model, not a curated record
UUCUGAGGACUUGCAUGUUAUUGAAACACCUAUGCCUAAGGGGCUAAAUGAAGGUUAUGGGUCUUCAGGAUUGGUUCAGGAAAAUGAAUUCUAUGACGCUGUUGUAAAACCACCUCUGACUGGGCUGAUCCAAAGGCAGCGAUAACAAGUCUGAGAGGGUCUGAGCCAGAAAAGUUGCCUCAUUCUACAGAAAGCCUGCAAAGGUAAAAAUUCUCUCUCUCUCAUUCUCUUUCUCUCUCUCUCUCUCUCUUUGACUCAACCGUGUGCUGUCUAUCUUUGCCCUUUUCAAAGGGGGCUGUCAUAAACAGAUAGGUAAGGGUUAAUGUCUCUUUUACCUGUAAAAGGUUAAGAAGCUCAGUAAACCUGGCUGACACCUGACCAGAGGACCAAUCGGGGGACAAGAUACUUUCAAAUCUUGGUGGAGGGAAGUCUUAGUUUGUGCUGUUUGUUUUGUUCAUUGUUCACUCUUGGGGCUAAGAGGGACCAGACAUGCACCCAGCUUUUCUCCAAUCUUUCUAAAUCAGUCUCUCAGGUUUCAAAAUAGUAAGUACUAGCUAGAAAAGGUGGAUUAGUCUUAUGUUCGUUUUCUUAACUUGUAAAUGUGUAUUUUACUGGAAGGAUUUUUACCUCUCUUUGCUGUAACUUUGAAUCACAGGCUGGGGAGGGGAGGAAGACCCUCUAGUCUAUAUGAAUCUGAAUACCCUGUAAGCAUUUACCAUCUUGAUUUUACAGAAAUAAUUUUUACUUUUUCUUACUUUAAUUAAAAGCUUUCUUUUUUUAAGAACCUAAUUAUUUUUUUUCUUAAGUUAAGAUCCAAGGGAUUAGGUCUAAACUCACCAGGGAUUGGUGGGGGGAAAGGGGGAGGGGAAGGUGAAUUCCUCUUUGUUUUAAGAUCCAAGGAGUUUGGAUCAAUGUAGCCUCUCAGGGUAACCCAGAGAGGGGAAAGUCUGGGAGGAGAAAUGAGGGGGAGAUGGUUUAUUUCUCCUUGUUUUAAAACCCAAGGGGUUUGGGUCUUGGGUUACCCAGGGAAGACUUUGGGGGACCAGGAAGUGUGCCAAACACUAUAUUUUUGGCUGGUGGCAGGGUUAUCAGAUUUAAGCUAGGAAUUAAGCUUAGAAGGGUCCAUGCAGAUCCCCACUUUUGGAUGCUAAGGUUCGAAGUGGGGAAAAAAACCUUGACAGGGGCUCUCUUUUUUUUUUAAUCUACACUGGUAUUGAAUAGUUUCAGUGCUUUUUUAUUCACUUUUUUACCCUGUGCUUACCAAAAAGGUUCUGCCUUUGUAAAUUCUCUUUUUAAACCUAGUUUUUAAUCAUUUUAAAUGCUUUUUUCUUAGUACCCCUUUAUGGUUUUGGACCCUGUGCUUACAAAACAGGUUUUGCUUUAGUAAAUUCCCCUUUUAAACCUAGUUUUUAAUGCUUUUUUCUUAAGCUAUAUUGGUAUUCAAUAGUUUCAAUGCCUUAUUAUUCACCUUUUUUACCCUGGGCCUCCCAAACAGGUUUUGCCUUUCCCUUUUUCAACCUAGUUUUCAAUAUUAUUUAACUUUUUUCUUAAACUAGCCCUUCAAAAACAAAUAUUUCCUUUUUUUAAAGUUCUAUCUUUCUAUUCUUUCAUAACCAGCCUCUUUUCUUCAAUAACUUACCUCUCUUCUUUCAAAUUUCCUUUUUUCCUCUAAACCUUACUCAAACUUUCUUUUUUCCUCUUAACACUCUCUCACACUCUUUUUUCAACCUUUUUCUCUCCAUGUACCCAAGCACAAACAUACACAACACUUCCCCUGUCAAACACAUACACACACACAUUUUUUCAAAAUGGACAAGGGCGCCACACUUUUGUGCCAAUGGAAACAGGGGGUGGGAAGGCAGGACAUAAGCCCUAGAAGGGGUGUGGAAAUCUGUCAAAACUGCAUGGUGAUGAAUAUUAUCAAGUCUAUUACUACUAACCUGUGAUAGUGUUUAAAACUUUAAAAGGGAUUAAUUCUUUCUUUUCUUCUGGAAACAUAAAGGUUGGUUUAUAUCUUAAUACCUAAAUUGGUAAUAGUCUGUACUUGUUGUUGAUAAGCAGUAAACUUACCUAUGAAAAGGAAGAUGCAACCUUAGUAUCCUUACAAUACUAAAUUCACUCAUUUACCAAUUAGAUAAACUUAAUACAACGGGGAUAUGAAUAAACUGUCUCAAUUGAGUAAUACCUCUGGUAUAGAUGAAGCUGUGAGACCACUAACAGGACCUUCUUGUAGAACUGGACAUUUCACAGGGUUCUGUGAAUCCUAAUCCUUUUUCAUGACUAUUGCUUGUACCUUUACUUUAAUAUAUUUAUUAAUAACUUUUCCACUAUCCAAUGACUUAAUUUGGAUACAAGCUUCAUAUUCUCCUUUAUUUUCAUUAUUUAGGUUACAUAUGACCAAUGCUCCAUUUUUCUACUGAGCUUUGACAUUUGGUUUUGUUUUUCCAUAAUCUGUAUGGGAUUCAAUUCCUUUUUGGUGAAGAUUUACCUUCCCUUGUAAUAUGAUUUAUAUCCUCCCACCCGGAUUCCUUAAUUAAGGGAGGUUUUUUUUUUUCCAAUUUACAAAAUACAUUUGCUCAUUUGCUUUUAUGCUAUAUUUAAGAACAAGUUUCUUACCUGCAUGCAGGGGUGUAAUCAGGAAGGCCAAAACACAACUGGAGUUGCAGCUAGCAAGGAAUGUGAAGGGUAAUAAGAAGGGUUUCUAUAGGUAUGUUAGCAACAGAGAAAAAGGUCAGGGAACACGUGGGACCCUUUAUGAAUGGGGGAGGCAAAAUAGUGACAGACAAUGUGGAAAAAGCUAAUGUACUCAAUGCUUUUUUUUGCCUUGGUCUUCACAGACCAGGGGAGCUCCCAGACUGCUACUCUGGGCAGCACAGUAUGGGGAGGAGGAGAGCAACCCUCAAUGGUGAAAGAACAGGUUAAGGACUAUUUAGAAAAGCUGGACAUGCACAAGUCCAUGGGGCCAGAUCUAAUACAUCAGAGGAUGCUGAAGGAGUUGGCUGAUGUGACUGCAGAGCCAUUGGCCAUUUUCUUUGAAAAUCUGUGGCGAUUGGGGGAGGUCCUGGAUGAUUGGAAAAAAGGCAAAUAUAGUGCCCAUCUUUUAAAAAGGGAAGAAGGAGAACCCAGGGAACUACAGCAUCACCUCAGUCCCUGGAAAAAUCAUGGAUCAGGUCCUCAAGGAAUCCAUUUUGAAGCAGUUGGAAGAGAGGAAGGUGAUCAGGAACAGUCAAUAUGGAUUCACCAAGGGCAAGUCAUGCCUGACCAACCUGAUUACCUUCUAUGAUGAGAUAACUGGCUCUGUGGAUAUGGGGAAAGCAGUGGAUGUGAUAUAUCUUGACUUUAGCAAAGCUUUUGAUACAAUCUCCCACAAUAUUCUUGCCAAUAAGUUAAAAAGGUAUGGGCUCGAUGAAUGCACUAUAAGAUGUUUAGAAAGAUGGUUAGAUUAUCAGGCUCAGUGGGUAGUGAUCAAUGGCUUGAUGUCUAGUUGGUAGCUAAUAUCAAGUAGAGUGCCAAAGAGGUUGGUCCUGGGGCUGGUUUUGUUUGACAUUAUUAAUGGUCUGGAUGAUGGGAUAGAUUACACCCUCAGCAAGUUUGCAGAUGACACUAAGCUGGGGGGAGAGGUAGAUACACUGGAGGGUAGGGAUAGGGUCCAGAGUGACCUAGACAAACUGGAAGAUUGGGCCAAAAGAAAUCUGAUGAGGUUCAACAAGAACAAGUCCAGAGUCCUGCACUUAGGAUGGAAGAAUCCCAGGCAUUGCUACAUGCUGGGGACCGAGUGGCUAAGCGGCAGUUCUGCAGACAAGAACCUGGGGAUUACAGUGGAUGAGAAGCUGGAUUAAGUUAGCAGUGUGCCCUUGUUACCAAGAAGGUUAAUGGCAUAUUGGGCUGCAUUAAUUGGAGCAUUGCCAGCAGAUCGAAGGAAGUGAUUAUUCCCCUCUAUUCGGCACUGGUGAGGCCACAUCUGGAGCAUUGUAUCCAGUUUUGGUCCCCUCACUACAGAAAGGAUGUGAACAAAUUGGAGAGAGUCCAGCAGAGGGCAACAAAAAUGAUCAGAGGGCUGAGGCACAUGACUUAUGAGGAGAGGCAGAGGCAACUGGGCUUAGACGAGUGAGGGGGAACUUGAUAGCAGCCUUCAGCUACCUGAAGGAGGGUUUCAAAGAGGAUGGAGUUCAGCUGUUCUCAGUGGUGGCAGCAGAUGACAGAACAAGGAGCAAUGAUUUCAAGUUGCAGUGGGGGAGGCAGGGAUGGCGCUUCCAAUUAGGCGACCUAGGCAAUCGCCUAGGGCGCCAGGAUUAUUGGGGGGUAGCAUUUUGCCAGGGGGGUGGCAGGCGGCUCCGGUUGAUCUGCCGUAGGCGUUCCUGUGGACGGUCCUCUGGUCCUGCGGCUCUGGUGGACCUUCUGCAGGCAUGCCUGCGGCAGCUCCACCAGAGCCAUGGGACCAGCAGACCCUCUGCAGGAACGCCUGCGGCAGGUCCACCGGAGCCGCGGGACCAGCGUGCGGGGCGGCGAAAUGGCCGCGCACCUAGGGCGCCAAAAACACUAGCACCAGUCCUGGGGGAAGGUUUAGGCUGGAUAUUAGGAAACACUAUUUCACUAGGAGGGUGGUGAAGCACUGGAAUGGGUUACCUAGGGAGGUGGUGGAAUCUCUAUUCUUAGAGGUUUUUAGGGCCUGAUUUGACAAAGCCCUGGGUGGGAUGAUUUAGUUGGUGUUGUUCCUUCUUUGAGCAGGGGGUUGGACUAGAUGACCUCCUGAGGUCUCUUCCAACCCUAACCUAUGAUUCUAUUACCCUUUUAACCUUUUGAUAAAAUUUGUUAUGAGUGAUUGGAAGAAAUAUUUGACCAAUUUUUUUUUUAAUAAUGCACGUAUCUUCCUUUAAGAUUUUUUUUUUGGGGUGUGUGGGGGGGAACUUUCAGUAGAAUAUCUUUCCACAAUACAAAUUUUCACUUAUCCUUCAAUACUAGAUGUAAUCCCAGUCUAUACAAACCUGAUGUAUGACUCUGCUCCAUAUGUAUUUUCAAAGUUGUACUAUUAAUCCAUGUUGAAAACAGUGUUUUAUCCCAUGACUUAGUUAUAAAUUGUCCUUGUGCUGGUUGAUAAUUCCAUUCAAAGAAAAUUUCAGUUGAAGAGCGUUCAUCUUUCAAUCCUUCAUGUGAUUUUAUUUGUUCUUGUGCCCAGAUCAUUGUUAUCUUUGGAUCUUGAGACUCAAUUGGCAAGUUUGAGUUCAGUUCCAACAUAAAAUCCUGAUUUGUCUUGA